RNAcentral lists this ribosomal RNA (481 nucleotides) under uncultured bacterium. Its description in RNAcentral is "partial 16S ribosomal RNA". It matches the Rfam family "Bacterial small subunit ribosomal RNA", at positions 28 to 507 of the family's 1533-position model. The record is from RNAcentral.
GAUGAACGCUGGCGGCGUGCCUAACACAUGCAAGUCGAACGGAGAUUACGGACGGAAGUUUUCGGAUGGAAGCCUGUAAUUCUUAGUGGCGGACGGGUGAGUAACGCGUGGGCAACCUGCCCUAUACAGGGGGAUAGCAGCUGGAAACGGCUGGUAAGACCGCAUAAGUCGGUUAAAUCGCAUGAUUUGAUCGGGAAAUGAGCAAUCAGGUAUAGGAUGGGCCCGCGUCCGAUUAGCCAGUUGGCAGGGUAAAAGCCUACCAAAGCGACGAUCGGUAGCCGGACUGAGAGGUCGGACGGCCACAUUGGGACUGAGACACGGCCCAAACUCCUACGGGGGGCAGCAGUGGGGGAUAUUGCACAAUGGAGGAAACUCUGAUGCAGCGACGCCGCGUGAGUGAAGAAGUAUUUCGGUAUGUAAAGCUCUAUCAGCAGGGAAGAUGAUGACGGUACCUGACUAAGAAGCCCCGGCUAACUACGUG